This 74-nucleotide transfer RNA is filed under the name Synechococcus phage SynMITS9220M01. RNAcentral describes it as "tRNA-Pro". It matches the Rfam family "tRNA". Rfam says of the family: Transfer RNA (tRNA) molecules are approximately 80 nucleotides in length. The record is from RNAcentral. Lineage: Duplodnaviria; Heunggongvirae; Uroviricota; Caudoviricetes; Pantevenvirales; Kyanoviridae.
CGAAGUGUAGCGCAGUUUGGUAGCGCUCCUGUUUUGGGAACAGGAGGUCGCAGGUUCGAAUCCUGUCACUUCGA